CGUAGAGUUUGAUCAUGGCUCAGGACGAACGCUGGCGGCGUGCCUAAUACAUGCAAGUGGAACGCAUUGAUUUCACCGGAGCUUGCUCCACCGAAAUUAGUGAGUCGCGAACGGGUGAGUAACGCGUAGGUAACCUACCUCUUAGCGGGGGAUAACUAUUGGAAACGAUAGCUAAUACCGCAUAACAAUAGGAUACACAUGUACCCUAUUUAAAAGGAGCAAUUGCUUCACUAAGAGAUGGACCUGCGUUGUAUUAGCUAGUUGGUAGGGUAACGGCCUACCAAGGCAUCGAUACAUAGCCGACCUGAGAGGGUGAUCGGCCACACUGGGACUGAGACACGGCCCAGACUCCUACGGGAGGCAGCAGUAGGGAAUCUUCGGCAAUGGGGGGAACCCUGACCGAGCAACGCCGCGUGAGUGAAGAAGGUUUUCGGAUCGUAAAGCUCUGUUGUAAGAGAAGAACGUGUGAGAGAGUGGAAAGUUCUCACAGUGACGGUAACUUACCAGAAAGGGACGGCUAACUACGUGCCAGCAGCCGCGGUAAUACGUAGGUCCCGAGCGUUGUCCGGAUUUAUUGGGCGUAAAGCGAGCGCAGGUGGUUGUAUAAGUCUGAAGUAAAAGGCAGUGGCUUAACCAUUGUGUGCUUUGGAAACUGUACAACUUGAGUGCAGAAGGGGAGAGUGGAAUUCCAUGUGUAGCGGUGAAAUGCGUAGAUAUAUGGAGGAACACCGGUGGCGAAAGCGGCUCUCUGGUCUGUACUGACAUAGCUGAGCGCC
RNAcentral lists this ribosomal RNA (776 nucleotides) under Streptococcus equinus. RNAcentral's name for it is "bacterial SSU rRNA". It matches the Rfam family "Bacterial small subunit ribosomal RNA", at positions 1 to 753 of the family's 1533-position model. The record is from RNAcentral. Lineage: Bacteria; Bacillati; Bacillota; Bacilli; Lactobacillales; Streptococcaceae.